This 468-nucleotide ribosomal RNA is filed under the name uncultured bacterium. Its description in RNAcentral is "partial 16S ribosomal RNA". It matches the Rfam family "Bacterial small subunit ribosomal RNA", at positions 28 to 507 of the family's 1533-position model. The record is from RNAcentral.
GACGAACGCUGGCGGCGUGCUUAACACAUGCAAGUCGAACGGAAAGGCCCUGCUUUUGUGGGGUGCUCGAGUGGCGAACGGGUGAGUAACACGUGAGUAACCUGCCCUUGACUUUGGGAUAACUUCAGGAAACUGGGGCUAAUACCGGAUAGGAGCUCCUGCUGCAUGGUGGGGGUUGGAAAGUUUCGGCUGUUGGGGAUGGACUCGCGGCUUAUCAGCUUGUUGGUGGGGUAGUGGCUUACCAAGGCUUUGACGGGUAGCCGGCCUGAGAGGGUGACCGGCCACAAUGGGACUAAGAGACGGCCCAGACGCCUACGGUAGGCAGCAGUGGGGAAUAUGGCACAAUGGGCGGAAGCCUGAUGCAGCAACGCCGCGUGCGUGAUGACGGCCUUCGGGGUGUAAACCGCUGUCGCCUGUGACGAAGCGGGAGUGACGGUAAUGGGUAAAGAAGCACCGGCUAACUACGUG